Molecule: unclassified non-coding RNA, 397 nt
Filed under: Hevea brasiliensis (rubber tree)
Lineage: Eukaryota; Viridiplantae; Streptophyta; Magnoliopsida; Malpighiales; Euphorbiaceae
Source: RNAcentral
CCACCCCCCAAACAACGCCAAAUUUGCACUCAAGCCCACUGUUGCAAUACCUACACAUUGGGUGUACUCAAGAUGCAAAAAGCCAUUAAAUUGGCAACCAGCAGCUAUGCUACCUCUGAAAAUUGUGUGGCAUAAUGUCCCACUUAAGGUUGUCCAAGCACUUCUUUAAAUACAGUCCUCAAGGAAAAACUUCAGAACUUUCCCAGGGAUAAGAAAUUAAAAUAACUAAUCCUACACGCUUGUUCUUCUACCAGAAAUCAAACUCCCACCAUUACCAAGUUUCCAAUUCCAAGCGGAAAAAGAGCAUUCCCUGCUGACAUCAGUUCUAAUCAAUUAUCACCAAAUUUAGAACCUCAUGACUAUCUACAAGGCCCUUUUCCUUACUAUAGCAUUGGUA